Fundulus heteroclitus (mummichog) is the source of this 4186-nucleotide long non-coding RNA. RefSeq lists it as uncharacterized. The transcript has 5 exons. Lineage: Eukaryota; Metazoa; Chordata; Actinopteri; Cyprinodontiformes; Fundulidae. The record is from RefSeq and is a predicted model, not a curated record.
AAAAAAUUCCUCUGCACUCAAUUGGAUAGACCUACAACCAAUAAGAGCAACGGAGUGUGUGACGUAUGUUAAGCGACGCAUAGUUGUUGUCAACAGAACUCAACCGUUAGCGUAGAAUAAGAAGAUGGGCGUGAACGAUUUUUUCCGGUGUUGCAAAAAAGAAUGUGCGGAUCCAAGGAGUCAUUCAACACACGAACCUCAUUUUUCAGAAAAACAAUAAAGGCGAAUGCACAUACGAUCAAGUUCUCCGUUUAGGAUUACUACUGUACAAAAUGCCAUAUAAAUUGCAACCCAUUUGUCUGUCCUGUCAGAACCUUAUAACACGUUUGGAACGCGACAUGCUUGUGUUAAAAAAAAUGGGCAGACAACGAAGGAGACCAGCCUGAAGAACCGUCUUCAUCUGAGGCAUCAGAGAAAACAUACCGGGAGCCUACUCCUUCCAAGACGCCCAGGACUCUGAAGAAGUUCUGCCCCAAUCCGUCAACUCCAACCGGUACAAAAACGCAAAUAAGCAUUACAGAGGUAAGGUGGUUAAUACAUUUCUACUUCUUAUGAUAUGACUAUGAGAAUAACCUCGAUUGCCAAGUUUCACAUGAGUUAAUAGUUAGUCAUGAUUAUUGUCCAAUGUGAUAAACACUGUGCAUUCCCACACUCCUCAUUUCAGGUUGUCACCCAUUUCCCAUCACAGACUGUUGCCAAGGUAUGUCCUCCAAAAGAUGCCUCAAUAGUGAACUGCAUCAAUAAGAAAAAUGGACAACAGCUGCAAAGUUAAUUUUGAAGCAUAAACACCUAGUUGAGGAAAUAAAGGUGCACAUCCUGGAGCUAAUAAGCAACGAAUGCAAACAUAUCUGUGAUCCAAACAACGGUUUCAUCCUGUGGAAGUCAUCUCCGAAUGAUCUGAAAGCCUUUUCAUUUACCAGCUUAGAGGCAGACCUAAAGUGUUUUUCACCAUUCCUCUUCUCAAUUCUCACAACUGUCACCAACCACUCUAACACUGCAACUUGUGCAGCAGCUUCCAUUGCUUUGAGAGGAAGAGAAGCACGCCUGUCAGCCUUUGCAUACUACCUAUGUAGUUUUCUACAUUACGGUGGGGCGAAAAAAGCAGUGUUUGAAAGACUGAGCAAAAUGGCCAUAACAACGCACCAAAAUUCUGUAGAGAAGCUGAAGGAGUUGGCACUCCUAUGUGGUGUGUCUCUAAAAAUGUUAAAGGUCCAGAAUGAAGCUUUCCUGAACUCUGAAGCGGAAGGAAACAUUGAUGUUGGUCAGAGAGUGGACACCAGCGAAGACCAAAGCACAAGUGAUCCGAAGGAGCCACUUAACAUGGAAGAGUGAGAUGACAAAUGACCAAUAUAUAGAAACACAACAAGCACAUCAAAUUCUGUGUCGUCUUGGAUGUUAUGUGUCUAUGUAUUGAUUAAUGCUACUACUACUAGUAGUAAUAAUAAAAAAUAAUAAAAAAUAAUAAUAAUCAUAAAUAUUUGUUUUUAAAUUUUUAUUACUUUUUUUCUUUUCCUGCAGAUGACAUGGCUCCGCUACCUUUCAACAGUUUAAGUGACUCUGAAGCAGCAGAGCUGGGCUUGAGCUCCUCGGCUUCUCCGAUCACCCACCCCACUCCUCCACCAACAUGUUCCAUAAUAUUUGAGAAUUUGGACUUUUUCAUGCGCGCACAUCAUCAGUCCACCCACCACAGCAAUAAAUCCAUACACUGGAUUCAUCAUGUUGCAGUCCAAGAUAGAAUCUCAGCAUAUCACCGGACUGUGACAUCCUUCAGUACGACCUCUGUAACUCACUCCCCGGACCAGAAAUCCAAGACUAUAUGCGACGUGAGUUCAUUGUUCUUGCAAGCCGCAUCCUUACAGAGUACCUGUCUGUUUUUAAACCCUUCAAGAUAUUAGUGGUACACCACAUGCCACAUCAAUAUACAGAGGACAUGGCUAAGUGCGCCACUGAUGUACCCUCUGGGACUGCUCUUCAAGGAUGAAAACAAAACGUCAGAUUUGUGGACACACUUCACCACCUUCAGAAAGAGUAUGUGCCAAAGGGACCAGACGGGUUGUCAAAUGUAUUAGUCGGAGGUAACCGGCUGACUGAGGGGAACUGCAGAAACAUACAGUGGGCCUUCUCAGAUGGUGCUACAAAGGAAGACCGACUGGAAGGUCUCAUCUUUAAGUUUGAAGACUGGCAUGCCAUCAGAAACCUCUUUGAAAUCUAUCAUCGGAUUUUCUAUGAUGGUGCAUCCUUAAAAGACCAUGGCACACAUCUUGCCAACAUAACGAAGUUGAGGUACAACGUCUGCUAUUUGCAAUCCCAUGAAUACAUACAUUGUACAAUUAUUACUGUUGUUUUAACCGUCCACUUUGUCAUCACAUUAUGCUUGUCUUUACAGUCUAAACAAUAUUGUUGUUAACUACAGUGAUUAUAAGUACGCUGUGUUGACCAUGCUUUCCACAGCUCUUUCACAGAAAUCCAGUCUGGAUAUUUCAUGAAUUGGGUUGUUAUGGGAUGGGGAACACUGUACUGCUAUCAUGAAAGCAGCUGUGCUGUUCUCUGUAUGGUAUGUUUUCAACGUAAUGCAUGUUUUCAUUAACUGUGGGUGGGUAUUUGAGGCUUUUCAAGAUAGUUAAUGGUUAGUUGGUUAGCUUUAGCAGUGCUAAAGAGCACACUAGACGCACGAUAUUCUUAUUGUACCUAUUGUACCUGCGAAAGGCUGUUUUUAACACAUUAACAUAUGAGCAUGCGGGCGUGUGUGUGUGCGCGUGCGUGUGUGUGAGCGAAGUAGUGGUAGCAUAGAGGUUAAGGACCUGUUCGGCAUGCAAAAAAGUUGUGGGUUCAAUGCCCUUAGUAAUUACCCUUCAACCAUUCACUAAACUAUGUAUUUCUGUCACAUAGGUGCAGCAAUGCUAAACAAGGUCCUCAUGCAGCUUACAAUGCCUAUAAGGAAUUUGUGCAUAAGGACACCACUGCACUCUUCCUAGCUGCUGCAAUGGAACUCUUUGGGUUGCAGGAUGUGACAGAAAUUCCAGAUGGAUUUGUCCCGCUGGAUGUUGACAACGGAUUGCCACAACUGAAGAGGAGCUGGCUGCAUGAGAAGGUUGGGCAGGUUGUGGACACCUUUGUCAUGAUGACGGGCGUGACAGAAGCUGCAACUCAAAGGCAGGCUACGACACAGUAGAGGCAGCAGUUUCCAUGUCGUGCAGACGGGUGUGGCUAUAUGUAUGUAUACGCCAAGGCAAGGGAAACACAUGAGAAGAAGAAGCAUUGUCUUGUGGCUCCAUCAGACUCUUCUUCAGAAAAUGUAAGUCCGACGAAACAAGACCACCAAUAACAUCACGCAGAAGCCAGACUUGGCUUUGGGUUUUUCCUGCUAGACAUGCAGGAUGCAGUGAGGAAAGGGGAUGGUGAAAGGCUGAUGAGACUGUACAAAGUUGCCUUGCUUUUCUACAAAGCGUACGGGCACAGCCAGUAUGCCUAUAGCACCUUCCUUCUGACACUGCAGAUAAAUGUCACUCUGUCCCCACGCAUGGCACAAGGUGUGACAUGGAACAGAUUUUGGAAUGGCAGAGGGAUAAAGGGGAAAAAUAUUCCACUUGACCUCCACCUGGAACAUCUAAACAAUUUUCUCAAAACAUUUAUGAGAGGCUUGGGACCAAACAUGUCAGAAAUGUCAGCAGCCAGAAUCAGUAGGUCCAUUGGCAUCGUCAAGGACCUAAUGGACAAAACGGACACAGAGCUCGAGCUGACAAGGCCGACUGGCAUUCAUCAUGUGGCCCGAGAACAGGAGGACGUUUUAACACUGGUCAAUGUUUUCAGGGAGACACAACUUUUCAAAAAUCACCCAGGCAGGCAGUAUCAUGCAUUCCCAAAUUUCCAGAGAAACUUAUUGGCAAAGCUAAAUUACCAGGAGUUAUGGAGGUGGAUGAAGUCCAAAAUAAUGGACUGGCGAAAUGUGCCUAUUUAAAUAGCAAUGUAAAUGGGAAAUGUAAAAUGGUGAUAGUAAUUUGUAAAUAGUGUUUUCAUAAAUUACAAUGUAAAUAAUUGAUUUUUAAUAUAAUAGUUUAUAAUAGUAGCAUCCACAUUCUUGAAACCUUUAUUUUUGUGUGUUUUCUUAUUGGUUGUAUGUUCAAAGUUCAGAGUAUAUCUUCAAACAUUAACUAUUAAGUGUAGAUAUUAAAAAUCUUUAUUGACA